CCCGGCGGUGCAGCUGCGUCCCCCCGUGGGCCCGCAUAGAGCCGCUCAGCGCGUCAGUCAUGGGCGCCUGCUCCACUGGCCCUGCUGCUGCUCUGUACAGGUCCCCGCUGUCGCGUUCCGUCCAACUGCUGUGAAGCGGGAGUCAGUGGAGCAGCGCCUCUCCAGGGAUAUCCCACCUCCCGCCAGAGCCCCUGUUCGCAGUGGGCAGGUCCUGGGAGUCCACGCGCCGCUGCACAGCAGCACACAGCUCAUUCAGUGACUCAGAUAUGGAUUUCAACUUCCAUGCCGGCUAGUUGUGGCCUUCAUUCUUUUGUGCUUUUCAGGAGUAAAGCUUACUAGUUAAGACAGCA
Manis pentadactyla (Chinese pangolin) is the source of this 350-nucleotide long non-coding RNA. RefSeq lists it as uncharacterized. NCBI's taxonomy places the organism in Eukaryota, Metazoa, Chordata, Mammalia, Pholidota, Manidae. The record is from RefSeq and is a predicted model, not a curated record. The transcript has 2 exons.